Molecule: ribosomal RNA, 490 nt
Filed under: uncultured marine eukaryote
Lineage: Eukaryota
Description: bacterial SSU rRNA
Rfam family: Eukaryotic small subunit ribosomal RNA
Source: RNAcentral
AUUCCAGCUCCAGUAGCGUAUAUUAAAGUUGCUGCAGUUAAAAAGCUCGUAGUUGGAUUUCUGGUGUGGUGGGCCCGGUCCGCCGACGCUAGUCGUGUGAGUACUGGCGCCCGCCUGCCAUCCUUCCGGAGAGCCCGCCUACCCUUCACUGGGCCGGGCGAUCAGGCGAUCUGGAACGUUUACUUUGAAAAAUUAGAGUGUUUAAAGCAGGCUUACGCUUCUGAAUACAUUAGCAUGGAAUAAUAAGAUAGGACUUUGGUUCUAUUUUGUUGGUUUCUAGGACCGAAGUAAUGAUUGAUAGGGACAGUUGGGGUGCUAGUAUUUAACGGCCAGAGGUGAAAUUCUUGGAUUCGUUAAAGACUAACUAAUGCGAAAGCAUUCACCAAGGAUGUCUUCUUUUAAUCAAGAACGAAAGUUGGGGAUCGAAGAGGAUCAGAUACCCUCGUAGUCUCAACCAUAAACGAUACCGACUAGGGAUCAGUGGACGCUG